AGGCCCCAAGAUUUUCUCCGCUGAAUAUUGCAAAAUAAAUGCUUUAAGAAGAAGGUCAGAUCGACAAUCGAAGAUCAAUCUUAAGGUUGGCUACUUCCUUCGUCCAAAGUGGUGAAACCAUUUUAGACUCAGAAGUGGGGGGCAAAUAUUGAGGAAGUAAUCCACCAUCCGAUCUGACCCCCUGACUUAAGCAUUUGCAGACCCCA
Molecule: long non-coding RNA, 206 nt
Filed under: Elaeis guineensis (African oil palm)
Lineage: Eukaryota; Viridiplantae; Streptophyta; Magnoliopsida; Arecales; Arecaceae
Description: long non-coding RNA (EGUI_LNC008683)
Source: RNAcentral